AUUGAACGCUGGCGGCAGGCCUAACACAUGCAAGUCGAACGGUAACAGGAAACAGCUUGCUGUUUCGCUGACGAGUGGCGGACGGGUGAGUAAUGUCUGGGAAACUGCCUGAUGUAGGGGGAUAACUACUGGAAACGGUAGCUAAUACCGCAUAACGUCGCAAGACCAAAGAGGGGGACCUUCGGGCCUCUUGCCAUCGGAUGUGCCCAGAUGGGAUUAGCUAGUAGGUGGGGUAACGGCUCACCUAGGCGACGAUCCCUAGCUGGUCUGAGAGGAUGACCAGCCACACUGGAACUGAGACACGGUCCAGACUCCUACGGGAGGCAGCAGUGGGGAAUAUUGGACAAUGGGCGCAAGCCUGAUGCAGCCAUGCCGCGUGUAUGAAGAAGGCCUUCGGGUUGUAAAGUACGUUCAGCGGGGAGGAAGGGAGUAAAGUUAAUACCUUGACUCAUUGACGUUACCCGCAGAAGAAGCACCGGCUAACUCCGUG
RNAcentral lists this ribosomal RNA (490 nucleotides) under uncultured bacterium. RNAcentral's name for it is "partial 16S ribosomal RNA". It matches the Rfam family "Bacterial small subunit ribosomal RNA", at positions 30 to 507 of the family's 1533-position model. The record is from RNAcentral.